GGCCAGACUCUACGGGAGGCAGCAGUGGGGAAUAUUGGGCAAUGGGCGCAAGCCUGACCCAGCAACGCCGCGUGAAGGAAGAAGGCUUUCGGGUUGUAAACUUCUUUUAAGAGGGAAGAGCAGAAGACGGUACCUCUUGAAUAAGCCACGGCUAACUACGUGCCAGCAGCCGCGGUAAUACGUAGGUGGCGAGCGUUGUCCGGAUUUACUGGGUGUAAAGGGCGUGCAGCCGGGCUUACAAGUCAGAUGUGAAAUCCUGCGGCUCAACCGCAGAACUGCAUUUGAAACUGUAGGUCUUGAGUACUGGAGAGGCAGACGGAAUUCCUAGUGUAGCGGUGAAAUGCGUAGAUAUUAGGAGGAACACCAGUGGCGAAGGCGUCUUACUGGACCGAAACUGACGUUGAGGCUCGAAAGCGUGGGGAGCAAACAGGAUUAGAUACCCGAGUAAAU
Molecule: ribosomal RNA, 450 nt
Filed under: uncultured bacterium
Lineage: Bacteria
Description: partial 16S ribosomal RNA
Rfam family: Bacterial small subunit ribosomal RNA
Source: RNAcentral